GAGCGCAACCCUUGUCAUUAGUUGCCAUCAUUGGUUGGGCACUCUAAUGAGACUGCCGGUGGACAAACCGGAGGGAAGGUGGGGAUGACGUCAAGUCCUCAUGGCCCUUAUGGGUAGGGCUUCACACGUCAUACAAUGGUCGGUACAGAGGGUUGCCAACCCGCGAGGGGGAGCUAAUCCCACAAAGCCGAUCGUAGUCCGGAUCGCAGUCUGCAACUCGACUGCGUGAAGUCGGAAUCGCUAGUAAUCGUGGAUCAGCAUGUCACGGUCGAAUACGUUCCCGGGCCUU
This 289-nucleotide ribosomal RNA is filed under the name uncultured Rhodocyclaceae bacterium. Its description in RNAcentral is "partial 16S ribosomal RNA". It matches the Rfam family "Bacterial small subunit ribosomal RNA", at positions 1094 to 1382 of the family's 1533-position model. The record is from RNAcentral. Lineage: Bacteria; Pseudomonadati; Pseudomonadota; Betaproteobacteria; Rhodocyclales; Rhodocyclaceae.